GGUGGCUCAAUGGUAGAGCAUUUGUCUCGCAUACAUGAGGCCCUGGGUUCAAUUCCUCAGCACCA
Molecule: transfer RNA, 65 nt
Filed under: Dipodomys ordii (Ord's kangaroo rat)
Lineage: Eukaryota; Metazoa; Chordata; Mammalia; Rodentia; Heteromyidae
Rfam family: tRNA
About the family: Transfer RNA (tRNA) molecules are approximately 80 nucleotides in length. Their secondary structure includes four short double-helical elements and three loops (D, anti-codon, and T loops). Further hydrogen bonds mediate the characteristic L-shaped molecular structure. tRNAs have two regions of fundamental functional importance: the anti-codon, which is responsible for specific mRNA codon recognition, and the 3' end, to which the tRNAs corresponding amino acid is attached (by aminoacyl-tRNA synthetases). tRNAs cope with the degeneracy of the genetic code in two manners: having more than one tRNA (with a specific anti-codon) for a particular amino acid; and 'wobble' base-pairing, i.e. permitting non-standard base-pairing at the 3rd anti-codon position.
Source: Rfam by way of RNAcentral